Molecule: long non-coding RNA, 520 nt
Organism: Arabidopsis thaliana (thale cress)
Lineage: Eukaryota; Viridiplantae; Streptophyta; Magnoliopsida; Brassicales; Brassicaceae
Product: other RNA
Exons: 1
Source: RefSeq
CGAGAGAGAAAGUGAUUGUUUUGUAAAGAUAGUUCACGAUAGAAUUUGGUUUUAAUAUCAUUCAUUCACAUAUCAAAUGAACCGCAUUUGGGCUUGACCCAUUUUUAUUGGGUUACGUGGCUCUUAAGUCAAUGAAAGCCUCACAUAAAAUCAUCAGUAUCUAUGCUACAGUAUAUUCUUACUUAUAUUAUCCAACGGUAAUGUUAUAAAAAGAUUGAUUAAAACUAUCUAGAUCCGACCCAUUAAACCGUAAAUCUACAAAUCCGACCCAUUAAAGAUUCUUGCCGGAGACGAAAGGUAUUCCGAUUGAGGAGAUGGGUCAAGUGUGGAGGUCACACUGGUAUUGGUCAAGGUUUGUAGAGGAUGGGAGUAUGGGAAUGCGCUUGAGAUGGGGAAGAGCAGUAAUUAAGCCGGAACGAAGCAUGUUUGAUUUAUCAUUGUUUUUUUAAUGAGAGUUUUAAGAAAAAGAAAAAAAAAGAUUUGUAAAUGUCGUAGAGGAAAAACUGUACUAGCCUAGAUA